This 92-nucleotide transfer RNA is filed under the name Calycina marina. RNAcentral's name for it is "tRNA-Phe". It matches the Rfam family "tRNA". Rfam says of the family: Transfer RNA (tRNA) molecules are approximately 80 nucleotides in length. Their secondary structure includes four short double-helical elements and three loops (D, anti-codon, and T loops). The record is from RNAcentral. Lineage: Eukaryota; Fungi; Ascomycota; Leotiomycetes; Helotiales; Pezizellaceae.
GCGGCUUUAGCUCACUUGGGAGAGCGCCAGACUGAAGUAAACUUCAGGAUCCUGAUAUCUGGAGGCACUGUGUUCGAUCCACAGAAGCCGCA